Molecule: unclassified non-coding RNA, 337 nt
Filed under: soil metagenome
Description: partial contains 5.8S ribosomal RNA, internal transcribed spacer 2, and large subunit ribosomal RNA
Rfam family: 5.8S ribosomal RNA (bases 1-120)
Source: RNAcentral
GAUGAAGAACGCAGCGAAAUGCGAUAAGUAGUGUGAAUUGCAGAAUUCAGUGAAUCAUCGAAUCUUUGAACGCACAUUGCGCCCCUUGGUAUUCCAUGGGGCAUGCCUGUUCGAGCGUCAUUUGUACCUUCAAGCUCUGCUUGGUGUUGGGUGUUUGUCUCGCCUCUGCGUGUAGACUCGCCUUAAAACAAUUGGCAGCCGGCGUAUUGAUUUCGGAGCGCAGUACAUCUCGCGCUUUGCAUUCAUAACGACGACGUCCAAAAGUACAUUUUUACACUCUUGACCUCGGAUCAGGUAGGGAUACCCGCUGAACUUAAGCAUAUCAAUAAGCGGAGGA